UUAAUUGAUGGGGCUUGGUAUGGAAACCUACCGAGUGAUAACUUUCAAAUUCAGAGAAACCCUGGAAUUAGAAAUGGGCAAUCCUGAGCCAAAUCCUGUUUUCUGAAAACAAACAAGGAUUCAGAAAGUGAUAAUAAAAAAAGGGGGGGGAUAGGUGCAGAGACUCAACGGAAGCUGUUCUAACAAAUGGAGUUGGCUGCGGCGCGUUAGUAAAGGAAUCCUUCUAUCGAAACUCCAGAAAGGGUGAAGAAUAAACCUAUAUCUACGUAUACGUACUAAAAUAGUAUCUCCAAACCAAAUGAUUAAUGACGACCCGAAUCUUUUUUUUUUUUUAUUUAUAUGGUUAGAUGAAAAACGAAAGAAUUGUUGUGAAUCGAUUCCAAGUCAAAGAAAAUGGAAUAUUCAUUGAUCAAAUCAUUUACUCCAUCGUAAUCUGAUAGAUCUUUUGAAAAAUUGACUAAUCGGACGAGAAUAAAGAUAGAGUCCCAUUCUACAUGUCAAUAUCGGCAACAAUGAAAUUUAUAGUAAGAGGAAAAUCCGUCGACUUUAUAAAUCGUGAGGGUUCAAGUCCCUCUAUCCCCA
RNAcentral lists this non-coding RNA (582 nucleotides) under Crumenaria erecta. RNAcentral describes it as "partial transfer RNA-Leu(UAA)". The stretch from base 1 to 507 matches the Rfam family "Group I catalytic intron". From Rfam's summary of the family: Group I catalytic introns are large self-splicing ribozymes. They catalyse their own excision from mRNA, tRNA and rRNA precursors in a wide range of organisms. Lineage: Eukaryota; Viridiplantae; Streptophyta; Magnoliopsida; Rosales; Rhamnaceae. The record is from RNAcentral.